This 497-nucleotide ribosomal RNA is filed under the name uncultured bacterium. RNAcentral describes it as "partial 16S ribosomal RNA". It matches the Rfam family "Bacterial small subunit ribosomal RNA", at positions 28 to 507 of the family's 1533-position model. The record is from RNAcentral.
GAUGAACGCUGGCGGCGUGCCUAAUACAUGCAAGUCGAGCGAACAGACGAGGAGCUUGCUCCUCUGACGUUAGCGGCGGACGGGUGAGUAACACGUGGAUAACCUACCUAUAAGACUGGGAUAACUUCGGGAAACCGGAGCUAAUACCGGAUAAUAUAUUGAACCGCAUGGUUCAAUAGUGAAAGCCGGUUUUGCUGUCACUUAUAGAUGGAUCCGCGCCGCAUUAGCUAGUUGGUAAGGUAACGGCUUACCAAGGCAACGAUGCGUAGCCGACCUGAGAGGGUGAUCGGCCACACUGGAACUGAGACACGGUCCAGACUCCUACGGGAGGCAGCAGUAGGGAAUCUUCCGCAAUGGGCGAAAGCCUGACGGAGCAACGCCGCGUGAGUGAUGAAGGUCUUCGGCUCGUAAAACUCUGUUAUUAGGGAAGAACAAAUGUGUAAGUAACUAUGCACGUCUUGACGGUACCUAAUCAGAAAGCCACGGCUAACUACGUG